RNAcentral lists this transfer RNA (76 nucleotides) under Methanomassiliicoccaceae archaeon. RNAcentral's name for it is "tRNA-Glu". It matches the Rfam family "tRNA". Rfam says of the family: Transfer RNA (tRNA) molecules are approximately 80 nucleotides in length. Their secondary structure includes four short double-helical elements and three loops (D, anti-codon, and T loops). Lineage: Archaea; Methanobacteriati; Thermoplasmatota; Thermoplasmata; Methanomassiliicoccales; Methanomassiliicoccaceae. The record is from RNAcentral.
GCUCCUUUAGUGUAGCGGCCAAUCAUGAGGCCCUCUCGAGGCCUCGACCCGGGUUCGAAUCCCGGAGGGAGCACCA